AUGAAUGUAGAUAUUGUGCAGAUAUUAUAUACAGUUACAGUAUAUAACAAAAUAAACCUUUGGUUUGGUUUUACUUCAAUAAUUAGGGGUGGUAACUCUGAAUGUUUUAACAUCCCAUCUGAAUCGGCGAAUGACAGCAGCAACAUUCCCAAAGAGGAAUCCAGCACAUCAGAAGAAGUGGAGGGAAAAGGAGGGAGUUUCGAGAACCCAGCAUACAGUGAGGAUUCCCAGGGAUCUUCUGCUGCACCUACUGCUGUAGCCACUGUCAUGAAUGGGCCUGCCAAUGAGAGUGUUGAAAACCCAAUGUAUGCUGCUGAGUUGAGCUUUCUGACCCAGCCAAAUGAUGGUCCAACCCCUGUCAAUGCAGAUGCCACACCAUUGAACACUGAGCCUGACAAGGCUGAUACUUCACAGCUACAGAACGGGGUGGAUAUGCAUGCUAUGUUCGACAAUCCCUUAUAUAUGGAUGCACCACAAUCACACAGCAAGGGAGAAUCUACAAUCUAA
This 507-nucleotide long non-coding RNA is filed under the name Carassius auratus (goldfish). RNAcentral describes it as "lncRNA (ENSCARG00000044421.1)". Lineage: Eukaryota; Metazoa; Chordata; Actinopteri; Cypriniformes; Cyprinidae. The record is from RNAcentral.